Molecule: long non-coding RNA, 1488 nt
Filed under: Marmota monax (woodchuck)
Lineage: Eukaryota; Metazoa; Chordata; Mammalia; Rodentia; Sciuridae
Source: RNAcentral
CCAAGAUGGAUAGUUGAGAAGCCCGGGUAUCUGCUCAGUAUUGACAGCGCUGGAGCACUCAAGGCUUCCUUCCUACUGUACGCCAACGCCAUCUGACUGCGUGUCUCUCCCCUCUCUGUCUAGGGGUUCCUCUGGCUCUAGACCCCUUUUUGCUGAUGCAGAGGAUGGACUCGAAAAUGGAGUGGACCUCAAUCAAUCUAAGAUAGGUUUCUCACUGGGAGGUAGGACAACAGUCAAGGGCAUCCCACAGACUCAGCUUUGAGUUUUAGUUACCUACAGCAGUGACUUCUCUCUAAGGAACGUUGUGGGUUGCUGGUUUCCUUCCUCCUUCCCUCCCCUCUUCCCUCUCCCCCUCCCCCCUUUUCCCUCCUUCCUCCUUCUCAGUCCUCUUUUCCCUACCCACUUCCUUUCUCUCUUCACUCCUGGUGCUACUGGAAUCACAUCCCAGAGAGACCCUAGUACUUGCCCCCAAUCCUAUGUCCAAGCUUAGCUUCUUAGAACUCAACCCAAGUUGAAUACCUCUCCCAUAUGUUCUUCCUAAAGCAAGGGAGGGCAGUCAACUUGAAGAAUGAAAAGGCCACAUCAGAUUUCCCCUAGAAGAGAAGUUAUUUUAGUAAUAAAAGUGUUUUGAGUUAUCUAGUUCAUUUUCUAUGCAAUAGUUUAGGAUCAGAUAUCUUACUGGAUGAGACAGAAGUAGCCAUAAGUAGAAUCAUAUAUCAUGUGUGAAAGUUUUAUCCACAGAUUCAUAGCAAACACAAAGAACUCCCUUCAUGUGAUGCUGGGGGCCAGUAAUUAAAAUCACUUCUAUUGAAAAGUGAGUUAGAAGUCACUUAGGAGGGAGGUGGGGUGGAGCUCAGUGGUCAGGCACGUGCUUAGCACGCAAUAAGGUUCUGGGUUUGAUCCCCAGCAUCACAUGAAAAAGAAGUAAUAUAGAGGGCUUUUUAUGCAGCGUCCAGCGAGAUGGAGGACAAGCAUAUCUUGGACAACAUGACCUCACGAGAUCUGUGUGCCUUUCAGCAAAUUUCUCAGGACACAAACUGGCCACUAUUGCAACAUGUUGUGUGAAAUGAUAUAUUGUCUCAUUUUCCUGUGAGCCAUCAUUAUGAACAAGUCAUCUAAGGUCCACAUAAUUAUAGCUCCCUAAGGCCAUCCCUAGCUCUAGAACCUUCUCCUACCUAAUCUGGUUACCUUCGCCUUUGCUGUUUUGAAAUUCCCAGUGGCGGUGGCAGCCAUUAGUGCUAGUCAUCAAGCCCUGCUUUGCAGAGAUAGGGCCGUUCCCAGCCCCUUCAGAUGGAGUCCUGUGGUUGUUUGGCCCCAGGGAGAUGUGAGUAGAAGUUGUGUUCCUGUCUCUUUCUGGUGGAAGCUUUGAGAGCCAUGUGGUUUUCCCAUGUUCCCUUUCCAGCUGUCGCAGCUGAUGCAUCCUAGGUGCCAGGGCACUAUAAUUUGGAUCUAGAAUGUCCCCCAGAGGCUUGGUGAACAGAGGGUGGC